This is a non-coding RNA of Durio zibethinus, 2038 nucleotides long. The record is from RefSeq and is a predicted model, not a curated record. Lineage: Eukaryota; Viridiplantae; Streptophyta; Magnoliopsida; Malvales; Malvaceae.
UAUAUUUUUUGUUUACUUUGGUAUGAAUAAAAACCCUAAAAUCGUUUUUGAAGUUCUCCUGGCCAUUUUUUACUGAAAAUGGCAUGGAUCGUGGAUUUUAAGGUCUUACUUUUGGUACCUUUUCCUUAAAUAGAGACUUUUGUAUGGUUGGUUUGUUUCCUUAUGUGGGAACGCUUUACCCUUUCAAUCUUUACUUUUUUUCUUUCAUCUUUUAUCAUCUUCUUGUCUUUUACUUUGUCUUCUCUCAUCUCAUUCUAUAGGACAUAGAAAUUGACAGAAGAGAGUGAGCCCACAGAGGCACUUGUAUAAGGCUAUACUUUUACUUUUGUGUUCUCACUUUACUUUCUGUCAUCUUCCAGUGCCGGAAUUUGACCUAAAUUUCCUUUUGGUCACUUCUCGGCCUGUUUUGUUCCAUAUUUUCAUUUCUUGUCUCCCUUAUUACAUUACUUUCCCUUCUCUUUCUAUCUCAUAUGAUCUCUCCCUCCUCUCUGGGAGUAGUUGAAUUUGAUUGACACCAGUGAAGAUAAUCUAUUCGAAGAGGAAUAUGGUGUGCCUACCGAUGAUCUGACUAUGUCUUUUGUUUAUUUCCAAUAGCAAUAGCUCUCAAUAUGAUUAAUUUAUGGUUUUAAAUCCCUUUUUAAAUACAAUAAUAGCUUUUGAUGUUAUUCACAGUUGAGGUAGGCCUGAUUACUGUGCGGAUUUAGCGGCAAAACUAUGAUAUCACGGGACCAUUUUCAUUAUACAUGGCCUAUUAGUAGCUAGUGUGGUCCUCCCUCAACAAACCCUCUUUCUUUUCUUUUUAUGAAUGAUCAGGUUGCUUGUAUUCUCAGGUGCAAAUGGAGUUUUCUACUACAGCGAGUGCAGCAGGGGAGAAGAGCCAUGGGGACCAGGAUUUAGGGCAUCUGAUGAGGAGUUUCUAUUAACGAUUUUUUGCAUCUAUUUUUCUCUCUUGCUUUUGUCUGUUCCUUAUACAGGUAGGCAGGUAUUUGAGUUUUGUAACUCUGGAUGUACGGAGGUUUAUUCAGAAAAAACUCAUUAAACAGGUUUUGGUAUCAUUUUGGAAAUGCAAAUCUUGUUUCAUUUAAAGUACUUGCAUCCGUCUGUUUUAGGAAUUGACUUAGUAUUAAAUUAGUAAUUUCUACGUCAAUAUUUUGGGGCCUAAUAUACUUACUCCAUCGUAUUGUGUCCAAGUCUUUUAUUAUUUCUUGUAUCUCCAAAAAGCAUUUAUUUGUAUGAUGGAUUGUAUUAAGAUAAAGAGUUACAUGCAAUCAACAAUUUUUAAACUGUAAGAUUUGGGUUUCUUUUGCGGAAUGACUGCAUUUUACUUACCCAUCAUAGAUGUUUGUACUUUUUGUUGAGUGGAAACUAAUACUAGGUUGUUCUGCGUUAGUUUGAAUGAUUGCUUCCUUUGUAUGUUGAUUUUUGAAUCUAAAUUUUCUGCUGAAAAUUAAGCAAACUACAAAAUUCCUCUUUUCUUCUGUUAGAUUGUUGUAUCUUAAGGUUGGGAGUCCUAGCAAAGCUACUAGUUUUCCAGUUUGCAUCUCCUUCAACACCUCUGUUACUUAUGUUUAGUUAUAUUAAGUAAUUCUAUUUCCAAUAUGGAGCAUUGAUGAAUAUUAAAAUGAUUAACUUAUUAACUGAUAAUGCUAUUAGUCAUAAAGUGCAUUUACUUUUCCUUAUGGAUUAAGUUAAUCAUUUGGUUUGAGUUGAUCAUUUCAUGUCAAGUGAUUGGUAUUUGGAAUAAGUGCACAAUUCCCUCAUCAGAAGUAUUUCAGCAAUUAAUCUUAUGAUUUUAGGAGACAAUUAUUGUUCUUCUCUUUUAAUGAAUUUAAUUGACUCUAGUUGGUGCUAGCUAGAUUUGUUGUUCUUGAUUACACCUUCAAUAUCAUACAUGCAUUAAGGAUGCAAUGUAAAUUUUUUUUUUUUUUAUUUAAGAAGCAUGGAAUUGAUGAAAUUGUAUUCUUUGGGACCCUUUAAAUCCAUAACUCAUUCGAAUCAAUAUAAUAUUUUAAAAUUUAGUAAUUUUGAUCCAAGUGUU